RNAcentral lists this long non-coding RNA (214 nucleotides) under Trifolium pratense (red clover). RNAcentral describes it as "long non-coding RNA (TPRA_LNC010563)". Lineage: Eukaryota; Viridiplantae; Streptophyta; Magnoliopsida; Fabales; Fabaceae. The record is from RNAcentral.
AUUAUGUUGUAAUCCAUUUGUAUAUAAAGUUUCAUCUCAAAGUAAUGAAUUAUGGAUUUUUUUCAGUCUCUGACAUGUGAGUUGGUGUAUGAAGAAUUGGUUCAUGUCUUAAUUCCCAAUUUGGUGGAGAAGGCAUAUUUGUUAUUUAUUAUGAGUUAUGUCAUUUUGAUAUUAUUGAGCAUGACUAUUAUACACCAAAAAGGAAGCAUCUGAC